UGUGGCAGAGGGUUCGGCUGUAAGGGCUGUACAGGAGAAGCUGUUUGCCCACCGCUCAGAACUCAUGGCUGCCUUUCAGCAGUAUGACACAAGUAACAGUGGCUGUUCUCUGUCAGUGAGUGGGCCCUGGUGGUGGAGUCAGUCCUGAGACUGGACCUGCCCUGGAGGACUCUGCGCCCGCGCCUGGCACGGCUGGCUCCAGAUGGCAGCAUCGACUACCAGUCCUGCUUUGAGGACAUAGGCCCGGGACAACCCAUACCCCAGGUCACUCCAAACUUGGCUGAAACUCUUUACAGAUAUCGAACAGACCUUGAGAUUAUCUUCAACAUCAUGGACAAAGACCACUCUGGUCAGAUCUCCAUCGAGGAGUUCCGUCAGACCUGGCGUCUGUUUAGUGCUCACCUGGGUGUGGAGGUGGAGAUCGGGCCAUAGAUGAACUGGCUAAGAGUAUAGACUUCAACAAGGAUGGCAGCAUCGACUUCAACGAGUUCCUAGAGGCCUUCAGGGUGGUGCACAAACUGGAUGUUAAGGACCAACAGCAGGGCUGAGACAAAUCUUGUUGUAGACCUGAAGACUCACAUUAGCUACCCAGGCAAUGACUUGGCUUUAGCUCAGUGAGCCAACACUGGCAGCAGGGCUGAGCGAACUACAAAGACCAGCGGCUAGGUUGAGAGAACUACAAAGACCAGCGGCUACACAGACCAGCGGCUAGGCUGAGAGAUCUACAAGACCAGCAGCUAGGCUGAUAGAACUACAAAGACCAGCAGCUAUGCUGAUAGAACUACAAAGACCAGCAGCUAUGCUGAGAGCGAACUACAAGACCAGCAGCUAUGCUGAGAGGAACUACAAAGACCAGCAGCUAUGCUGAGAGCGAACUACAAAGACCAGCAGCUAUGCUGAGAGAGAACUACAAAGCCAGCAGCUAUGCUGAGAGAGAACUACAAAGACCAGCAGCUAUGCUGAGAGGUCUACAAAGACCAGCAGCUAUGCUGAGAGGUCUACAAAGACCAGCAGCUAUGCUGAGAGAGAACUAGAAAGACCAGCAGCUAUGCUGAGAGAGAACUACAAAGACCAGCAGCUUAUGCUGAGAGCGAACUGCAAAGACCAGCAGCUAUGCUGGAGAGCGAACUGCAAAGACCAGCAGCUAUGCUGAGAGAGAACUACAAAGACCAGCAGCUAUGCCGAGAGGUCUACAAAGACCAGCAGCUAGGCCUGAGAGAACUACAAAGAACCGGGAGCUAUGCUGAGAUAGAACUACAAAGACCAGCAGCUUAUGCC
Salvelinus sp. IW2-2015 is the source of this 1278-nucleotide non-coding RNA. NCBI's taxonomy places the organism in Eukaryota, Metazoa, Chordata, Actinopteri, Salmoniformes, Salmonidae. The record is from RefSeq and is a predicted model, not a curated record.